This 492-nucleotide ribosomal RNA is filed under the name uncultured bacterium. RNAcentral describes it as "partial 16S ribosomal RNA". It matches the Rfam family "Bacterial small subunit ribosomal RNA", at positions 29 to 507 of the family's 1533-position model. The record is from RNAcentral.
AGUGAACGCUGGCGGUAGGCCUAACACAUGCAAGUCGAACGGCAGCACAGUAAGAGCUUGCUCUUACGGGUGGCGAGUGGCGGACGGGUGAGGAAUACAUCGGAAUCUACUUUUUCGUGGGGGAUAACGUAGGGAAACUUACGCUAAUACCGCAUACGACCUACGGGUGAAAGCAGGGGAUCUUCGGACCUUGCGCGAUAGAAUGAGCCGAUGCCGGAUUAGCUAGUUGGCGGGGUAAAGGCCCACCAAGGCGACGAUCCGUAGCUGGUCUGAGAGGAUGAUCAGCCACACUGGAACUGAGACACGGUCCAGACUCCUACGGGAGGCAGCAGUGGGGAAUAUUGGACAAUGGGCGCAAGCCUGAUCCAGCCAUACCGCGUGGGUGAAGAAGGCCUUCGGGUUGUAAAGCCCUUUUGUUGGGAAAGAAAAGCAGCAGGUUAAUACCCCGCUGUUCUGACGGUACCCAAAGAAUAAGCACCGGCUAACUUCGUG